CUUCGCCGAAGAGAUGAGCUAAUCGGACGUCAAUUUCGGAUCGUCUUUCGUCACGCCGAACACGCGAAAGAUUAAAUUCUGUUUUCGGACCGCCUGAGGAAGACCGCCGCCGGGUUCGGGCUUCGACAGGUUAAACUCAAACAGGCCGGAUACACACGUAGACGCUCCCAUGGAGCUGUCACGGGACGCGGGUUCGAUUCCCGCCGCCUCCAUCC
This 215-nucleotide transfer-messenger RNA is filed under the name Thermoguttaceae bacterium. RNAcentral's name for it is "partial transfer-messenger RNA". It matches the Rfam family "transfer-messenger RNA", at positions 156 to 374 of the family's 374-position model. From Rfam's summary of the family: Bacterial tmRNA, also known as 10Sa RNA or SsrA, is named for its dual tRNA and mRNA-like properties. Its role is to liberate the mRNA from a stalled ribosome. Lineage: Bacteria; Pseudomonadati; Planctomycetota; Planctomycetia; Pirellulales; Thermoguttaceae. The record is from RNAcentral.